Molecule: ribosomal RNA, 496 nt
Filed under: uncultured bacterium
Lineage: Bacteria
Description: bacterial SSU rRNA
Rfam family: Bacterial small subunit ribosomal RNA
Source: RNAcentral
GACGAACGCUGGCGGCGUGCCUAACACAUGCAAGUCGAACGGAGAAGUUGAUUUCGGUUGACUUCUUAGUGGCGAACGGGUGAGUAACGCGUGAACAACCUGACCUUAAGAGGGGGAUAACAACGAGAAAUCGUUGCUAAUACCGCAUAAGACCACAACGCCACAUGGCGAAGGGGUCGAAAGGAGCAAUCCGCUUAAGGAGGGGUUCGCGUCCCAUUAGGUAGUAGGCGGGGUAAGUGGCCCACCUAGCCGACGAUGGGUAGCCGAGCUGAGAGGCUGAACGGCCACACUGGAACUGAGACACGGUCCAGACUCCUACGGGAGGCAGCAGUGGGGAAUAUUGGGCAAUGGGCGCAAGCCUGACCCAGCAACGCCGCGUGAGGGAAGAAGGUUUUCGGAUUGUAAACCUCUGUCGCAGAUGACGAAGGAAGUGACGGUAAUCUGUGAGGAAGCCCCGGCUAACUACGUGCCAGCAGCCGCGGUAAGUCUCGCGUGA